This 407-nucleotide ribosomal RNA is filed under the name uncultured bacterium. RNAcentral's name for it is "bacterial SSU rRNA". It matches the Rfam family "Bacterial small subunit ribosomal RNA", at positions 9 to 417 of the family's 1533-position model. The record is from RNAcentral.
GAGUUUGAUCUUGGCUCAGGACGAACGCUGGCGGCGUGCCUAACACAUGCAAGUCGAACGGACGAGGCCCCUUCGGGGACCGAGUUAGUGGCGGACGGGUGAGUAACGCGUGAGCAACCUGCCUUUCAGUGGGGGACAACAGUUGGAAACGACUGCUAAUACCGCAUAAAGCUAACCGGAGGCAUCUCUGGGGAGCCAAAGAUUUAUUGCUGAAAGAUGGGCUCGCGUCUGAUUAGCUAGUUGGCGGGUAAGGCCCACCAAGGCGACGAUCAGUAGCCGGACUGAGAGGUUGAACGGCCACAUUGGGACUGAGAUACGGCCCAGACUCCUACGGGAGGCAGCAGUGGGGAAUAUUGGGCAAUGGGGGAAACCCUGACCCAGCAACGCCGCGUGAAGGAAGAAGGCCU